AUCACCUUCACCAUGUUCUCUGUUGCUCUGCUGCUGCUGUUUACAGCUGGAUCCUGGGUCCAGUGUGAGCAGCUCACCCAGCCUCCCUCUGUGAACCUACAGCCGGGUCAGCAUCUGACCAUCACCUGUCAGGUCUCCUAUUCUGUUAGUAGCUACUACACAGCCUGGAUCAGACAGCCUGCUGCAGGAACACUGGAGUGGAUUGGUCGUAUAUAUACUUCAAGCUCCUACACCAAAGAGUCACUGAGAAGCAAAUUCCGCAUGAAUGUAGAUUCCUCCAACAACAGAGUGACUCUGACCGGAGAGAACAUGCAGCCUGGAGACUCGGCCGUCUAUUACUGUGCGAGAGGAGCACAACAACACAAAACACCGAGGGAGGGCUAUGCAAACCUUCUCUGA
Molecule: non-coding RNA, 399 nt
Organism: Synchiropus splendidus (mandarinfish)
Lineage: Eukaryota; Metazoa; Chordata; Actinopteri; Syngnathiformes; Callionymidae
Source: the annotation of a RefSeq genome assembly